CCUACGGGUGGCUGCAGUGGGGAAUAUUGGGCAAUGGGCGCAAGCCUGACCCAGCAACGCCGCGUGAAGGAAGAAGGCUCUCGGGUUUUAAACUUCUUUUCUCAGGGACGAAGCAAGUGACGGUACCUGACGAAUAAGCCACGGCUAACUACGUGCCAGCAGCCGCGGUAAUACGUAGGUGGCAAGCGCUAUCCGGAUUUACUGGGUGUAAAGGGCGUGUAGGCGGGAAAGCAAGUCAGAUGUGAAAACCAUGGGCUCAACCUGUGGCCUGCAUUUGAAACUGUUUUUCUUGAGUACUCGAGAGGCAGGCGGAAUGCGUGGUGUAGCGGUGAAAUGCGUAGAUAUUAGGAAGAACACCGGUGGCGAAGGCAGUCUGCUGGACAGCAACUGACGCUGAGGCGCGAAAGCGUGGGGAGCAAACAGGAUUAGAUACCCUAGUAGUC
Molecule: ribosomal RNA, 443 nt
Filed under: uncultured bacterium
Lineage: Bacteria
Description: partial 16S ribosomal RNA
Rfam family: Bacterial small subunit ribosomal RNA
Source: RNAcentral